GGCUUUUCUCACUAGUCUCCAAAUAAUAUUCCAUAUAGAGGAGCAUUUGUCACCAUCUACAGGGCAAACACUGGAAAGAAAAGACGAUUUUUAUUGGCUAUGUUGGGAUUUAGGGCAAUGCUCAGGAGGUUUUGCAGUUAGUUACUGUGGUGUCUCAGUACCGUAUUACAUAUCGUACCUUGUAUGGUGGUCCCCAAAGUCAGAGUAACUACGUUCAGCUUUCAGACCAUCUCUGUGGGGGGCCCUCAAUCUUAAAAGGUGGGAUCCACAAUGGGAAUAACGCUUUAAGGAUCAACUACCAAAAGAGAGCAUCUUCCUCACUACCAGGAUAUGGGCAGAUGCCAGCUGCCUUCAGUUAAGAAACCUUACUCUGUUCAAGAUAAUCUUUGGUGUUGUGGACAGAGCACAACAUCUAGAAGGGGAUGGGGACGAAGCUCACUGCUAUCAGAUGCUGUGACAAUGACAGGUCACAGUUUACAAGGAGAUCCUGCACUACCAGGAAAGGGAAAGCACAGCUGAAAUGGAAGAUCUGCACACGUUUGAUAAUAACACUAUAUUAGCUUUCUUCUCCAUCAUCUUCUGGGACGACAGUCAUGCCGACUAAUUUGAUGCAUUGUGACCCCCUACCCCUUCAACCUCUGCAGUAAUGCUCGCAGCACUCAUACAUCUACUUCCCAAAGACAACCUUUGGAUAUGGUACUGAGCAUGUGCACUCAACUUCUUUGGUCAGCAAAGACAAGGCCUGUUCUGAGAAACCUGAAAAACCUGUCCUAUCCUCAUAAAGUUCUUUGCCAUGCGGUGCCAUGUUGAACUUCCAGUGACCUGCUCCCCAUUCACACCUGAGACCUUUUAACAUUAAGUCAAAUGACACCAGUGAGGGAAAAUGGAUAAUUGUGCCCAAUUUGAACAUUUAUACUCACCUUUGUUACCAAUGUUUAGAAAGUAAUGGCUGCAUGUUCAGUUAUUUUUAGGGGGCGGUAACAUUAAAUACUGUUAUACAGGCUGUGCACUCUUUACAUUGUAGCUGAGUGUCAUUUCCUCAGUAUUAGCACAUGGGGGUUUCUACUUAAUGAGGUGGGUAUCUGUCACUAGGGGCUUAUACUUAAUAGGAAAAUUACCUAUCUAAUGGGGGCUUCUAUUUAAUGGGGAGGGGGGGGGGGUAUCUGUCACUGAGGGCUUUUACUUAAUGGGGGGAAUUAUCUACCUACUAUGGGCAUCUACAUAACAGGGUUUGAAGCUAUCUACAUACUGGGGCCUUUACCCAAUGAAGGAGAUAAUCAACCUUCUUGUAUCCUCUAAUCUAAUAUUAUCUACCUACUGGGGUCAUCUACCUAACAUGGAAAAUUAUCUACCUACUGAGGCAUCUACCUAAUUGGGGGAUCAUCUACCUGCUGGAGGCAUUUACCUAAUAGAAGGGGACGGCCUUCAGCCAAGCAUGAAACAGACCUCAACUGGCAGGCCGUCGUAGCCUAUGAAGAAGAAAAGAAUCCAGCGCUGGUCUGGAACACUCUCAUAACUAAGAGCAUUGCUGUAUGCUGGAAGCGCAUGGAGAGAAGUGCAGCCUGAGUCUAUGCCUUGAAAAAUUUUUAUGCAAUAUACCAAAAUAAAAAGAACACAAGUUUGCUUCAGAGCAUAGCUGGAUUCUCUUAUUCUUCUUAGGAAAAUGUUUUACCUACUGGGGGUAUUUACUUAAUAAGAGGGUAUUACUUACCCACUGGGUACCUACCUAGAAACCCCUACAAUUCUCCUACUCCUCCCACCAACCCACUUACCUACUCACUCAUACUAUGUAGGGUACAAAGGGUGACAUUAUUUGGGUCACUGUGGGUGGGAAAAAGGUGGGGAAUGGCCUUGAAAAGGUAUAGAACAGAUUCUUGGUUUAAAGAAAUCUUCAUAGCAGUCUGAGACAGACAGAGAAGAGAAGGAAAGUGAACAGCUCCAAGAAGACAUAACCUGUGAGUCAAUGCACUGUAAUCACUUAUACAGUAUGCAGAGCCUGUGUAGAGCUGGGGCAUAUCAAUCUAUAUAGAGUGUUUCUUAUUCAUUAUUAGCAUGGUACAAUUAUCCAGUCACUAUGUGGUGGUAAUGGUAGUGGUCAUGGUGUGGUGCAAUUAUUUCUCCCUUGUACAGUGGUGUUAUUGGUGACAUUGGUUUGUGUAUAGUAGUUUUUAUUUUAUAGCAAUAUAAUGGUGUUAUUAAGUUGGCGCAGUAGUAAUAUGAUGUCCUGAUGUAGAGGUAUUCACAACCAUUGAGGAAAUCUUGAUUAAGCCCUUGGUGUGAGGCACUAGACAAACACUGUUACAUUUGCAGGGCCAAAAAUGACCAUUGAAAUAACAGCAAUUCUUUUCCCACGUGUGCAAUUUAACUGCUAAUUCUCCAGUGACAACAAUGAAACACACUAUUAUAACGAUAUCUGCUGAUUUUUUAAAUUAAAGGAUGUUUUAUUGGUGCUUUAUUGCUAAAAAAUGUCCUUACACAUACUUUUUUCAUGGUGUUUUCAAAAAAGUAUGGUGCAGUUUUUGUGGCCUUCUUUCCAAAAUAGUGUAAUUUAGCACACAAGGUUUUAGGUUACUCUUUUUUUCCAGUGCCAUUUUUCUAAUUACAAGUCAUGUGAUAUGGUCAUAUGAUACAGAAAAUCCGCAGCAGCAGAGUCCCAUUGAUUUCCCACAGCGGAAUUUCUGUAUCAGCCGCGAAAAUUCCGAUUCCAGAUUUCACUGAAAGAAUAGACAUGUCUAUUCUUUCUGCAGAGUCAACACAGAAAUGCAGUGCCAUCUAUGAGAGGGCACAUUUCCGAGUGGUCCUAUCGCCACCAUGUUCUGUUUGCGCUCCACUGUCAGGGGAAUUUUUGGUGCGGACAUUCGCUUGUCUGAACAUAGCCUGAGUCCUUCUAGAAAACAGCUGCUGCUUGAACUUUAGUUGCUGGAUUGUGCCACAUAGAUGCCUAUGUUGCUGAAUUUCACCAACCAGGAAGACUUUGCUCAUAAACCACAUUGUGAAAGCUUAUAGGCCGAUAUUUAUCAUUGUAGGUGUAAGUGAAGCAUUUUCUACACCUUUUAUUUUUUUGUGUGCUGGUAAUGUGUAGGAGCACCAAAUUUAUUCACAGAGCAUUUGAUACAUUUUGUGCAGGUCACAUUUUCUGAAAUUUCUCUUUUCACAUACA
Molecule: long non-coding RNA, 3160 nt
Organism: Hyla sarda
Lineage: Eukaryota; Metazoa; Chordata; Amphibia; Anura; Hylidae
Exons: 7
Source: RefSeq, a predicted model, not a curated record